Molecule: long non-coding RNA, 666 nt
Filed under: Marmota monax (woodchuck)
Lineage: Eukaryota; Metazoa; Chordata; Mammalia; Rodentia; Sciuridae
Source: RNAcentral
GGAACAGAUGGUUGUGAAAUCAUGUGCUGUGGCCGAGGGUACGACACAACUCGAGUCACCCGUGUCACUCAGUGUGAGUGCAAAUUCCACUGGUGCUGUGCUGUGCGAUGCAAGGAGUGCAGAAACACUGUGGAUGUCCAUACUUGCAAGGCCCCCAAGAAGGCAGAGUGGCUGGACCAGACCUGAACACACAGAUACCUCACCGUCCCUCAACUUCAAGCCUCCCAACUCAAAAGCACAAGAUCCUUGCAUGCACACCUUUCUCCACCCUCAACCCUGGGCUGCUAUAGCUUCUAUUUAAGGACUUGCAGAAUAAUCCAGAAGGACUAUGGUGUCCUGGUUCCUUAGCCCUGGGAAGGAGUUAAUAGGGGAUAUAAGAAACUGAGUGGCUCCCUGAUUUCCCCUUUGGAGGUUUGAAGGGAGAGCAGAAGAAGUAGGGGGUCUUCGGAGUGAUUUGAGUUGCACUAAAGUACCUGGUCAAGGCUCAUUUUUCCUUUCCCUUGCACUGGUUUCUAAUACUUCUUGGAUGUGUAAGAGAAAGGGUACCUAGAAACAGCUUUCUUUUGACCCUACCCUGGCUGAGGGUGGACAGGACAGAGAUGAUACUGCAUGAUCCUUUACUGAAGACAGUUUGAGCAGACUGCCUGGUUCUCCAAGAGAUACUCU